AGUGAACGCUGGCGGUAGGCCUAACACAUGCAAGUCGAACGGCAGCACAGUAAGAGCUUGCUCUUACGGGUGGCGAGUGGCGGACGGGUGAGGAAUACAUCGGAAUCUACUUUUUCGUGGGGCCAAAAAAGGGCAAUAUUACCUCAUACCGCCUAAGGCCGAAGGGGGAAAAUAUGGGGACCUCGGGCCUUCAGCUGAUCCAAGGUCGGAUUAGCUAGUUGGUGGGGUAAAGGCCCACCAAGGCGACGAUCCGUAACUGGUCUGAGAGGAUGAUCAGCCACACUGGAACUGAGACACGGUCCAGACUCCUACGGGAGGCAGCAGUGGGGAAUAUUGGACAAUGGGCGCAAGCCUGAUCCAGCCAUACCGCGUGGGUGAAGAAGGCCUUCGGGUUGUAAAGCCCUUUUGUUGGGAAAGAAAAGCAGCAGGUUAAUACCCCGCUGUUCUGACGGUACCCAAAGAAUAAGCACCGGCUAACUUCGUG
Molecule: ribosomal RNA, 484 nt
Filed under: uncultured bacterium
Lineage: Bacteria
Description: partial 16S ribosomal RNA
Rfam family: Bacterial small subunit ribosomal RNA
Source: RNAcentral